Molecule: ribosomal RNA, 253 nt
Filed under: uncultured bacterium
Lineage: Bacteria
Description: partial 16S ribosomal RNA
Rfam family: Bacterial small subunit ribosomal RNA
Source: RNAcentral
GACAGAGGCCCCAAGCGUUAGGCGGAAUCACUGGGCUUAAAGCGUGUGUAGGCGGAUCGUUAAGUGUCUUGUGAAAUCCCACGGCUCACCCGUGGAACGGCUGGGCAUACUGGCGAUCUUGGGCCAACUAGGGGCAGUCGGAACAAGCGGUGGAGCGGUGAAAUGCGUAGAUAUCGCUUGGAACGCCGAAGGUGAAAACAGACUGCUGGGGUUGCGCCGACGCUGAGACACGAAAGCCAGGGGAGCAAACGGG